GACGAACGCUGGCGGCGUGCUUAACACGUGCAAGUCGAACGAUGAAGCCGGAGCUUGCUCUGGUGAAUUAGUGGCAACGGGUGAGUAACACGUGAGUAACCUGCCCUUGACUCUGGGAUAACUGCGGGAAACUGUAGCUAAUACCGGAUACGACCCUCGGAGGCAUCCCCUGGGGGUGGAAAGAAUUUCGGUCAAGGAUGGACUCGAGGCCUAUCAGCUAGUUGGUGAGGUAAAGGCUCACCAAGGCGACGACGGGUAGCCGGCCUGAGAGGGUGACCGGCCACACUGGGACUGAGACACGGCCCAGACUCCUACGGGAGGCAGCAGUGGGGAAUAUUGCACAAUGGGCGCAAGCCUGAUGCAGCAACGCCGCGUGAGGGAUGACGGCCUUCGGGUUGUAAACCUCUUUUAGCAGGGAAGAAGCGAAAGUGACGGUACCUGCAGAAAAAGCACCGGCUAACUACGUGCCAGCCGCCGCCGUAA
This 483-nucleotide ribosomal RNA is filed under the name uncultured bacterium. RNAcentral describes it as "partial 16S ribosomal RNA". It matches the Rfam family "Bacterial small subunit ribosomal RNA", at positions 28 to 523 of the family's 1533-position model. The record is from RNAcentral.